RNAcentral lists this ribosomal RNA (465 nucleotides) under Vreelandella stevensii. Its description in RNAcentral is "partial 16S ribosomal RNA". It matches the Rfam family "Bacterial small subunit ribosomal RNA", at positions 338 to 795 of the family's 1533-position model. Lineage: Bacteria; Pseudomonadati; Pseudomonadota; Gammaproteobacteria; Oceanospirillales; Halomonadaceae. The record is from RNAcentral.
CCUACGGGAGGCAGCAGUGGGGAAUAUUGGACAAUGGGCGAAAGCCUGAUCCAGCCAUGCCGCGUGUGUGAAGAAGGCCUUCGGGUUGUAAAGCACUUUCAGUGGGGAAGAAAGCCUUGGGGCUAAUACCCUCGAGGAAGGACAUCACCCACAGAAGAAGCACCGGCUAACUCCGUGCCAGCAGCCGCGGUAAUACGGAGGGUGCGAGCGUUAAUCGGAAUUACUGGGCGUAAAGCGCGCGUAGGCGGUCUGAUAAGCCGGUUGUGAAAGCCCCGGGCUCAACCUGGGAACGGCAUCCGGAACUGUCAGGCUAGAGUGCAGGAGAGGAAGGUAGAAUUCCCGGUGUAGCGGUGAAAUGCGUAGAGAUCGGGAGGAAUACCAGUGGCGAAGGCGGCCUUCUGGACUGACACUGACGCUGAGGUGCGAAAGCGUGGGUAGCAAACAGGAUUAGAUACCCGUGUAGCC